GACUGCGGAAGGAUCAUUACAAGUGAGGCUACCGAACGUUGGAAACAGCGGUUAGGAGCUUACACCCACCCGUGUUUACAUACUAUUGUUGCUUUGGCGGGCCGUGGCCUCCACUGCGGGCUCUGCUCGUGUGUGCCCGCCAGAGAACCAAACUCUGAAUGUUAGUGAUGUCUGAGUACUAUCUAAUAGUUAAAACUUUCAACAACGGAUCUCUUGGUUCUGGCAUCGAUGAAGAACGCAGCGAAAUGCGAUAAGUAAUGUGAAUUGCAGAAUUCAGUGAAUCAUCGAAUCUUUGAACGCACAUUGCGCCCUGUGGUAUUCCGCAGGGCAUGCCUGUUCGAGCGUCAUUUAACCACUCACGCCUAGCGUGGUAUUGGGGCACGCGGUCUCCGCGGCCCUCAAAAUUAGUGGCGGCGCCGGUGGGCUCUAAGCGUAGUACAUACUCCCGCUAUAGAGUUCCCCCGGUGGCUCGCCAGAACCCCCAAUUUUUACAGGUUGACCUCGGAUCAGGUAGGGAUACCCGCUGAACUUAAGCAUAUCAAUAAGCGGAGGAAAAGAAACCAACAGGGAUUACCUCAGUAACGGCGAGUGAAGCGGUAACAGCUCAAAUUUGAAAGCUGCCAACAGGCCGCGUUGUAAUUUGUAGAAGCUG
Molecule: ribosomal RNA, 652 nt
Filed under: uncultured Phialocephala
Lineage: Eukaryota; Fungi; Ascomycota; Leotiomycetes; Helotiales
Description: eukaryotic LSU rRNA
Rfam family: 5.8S ribosomal RNA (bases 194-347)
Source: RNAcentral